CUAAGACCAAUUUUUUUUUUUUUUUCAGUAAAAGAUUUGAGAGGGCAUAAUAUUGAAGAGUGGUGGCUUAGUUGCUAAGUUGUGUCUGACUCUUGGCAACGCCAUGGACUGUAGCCUGCCAGGCUCCUCUGUCCAUGGGAUUCUCUAGGCAAGAAUACUGGACUGGGUUGCCAUCUCCUUCUCCAGAGGAUCUUCCUGACCCAGGGAUUGAAUGCUGGUCUCCUGCAUUGCAGGUAGACUCUUUACCAACUGAGCUAGAAGGGAAGCCCGAUAUUGAAGAGAGGAUUAAGAGUUCUGAUUGCAAAUGGAGGGAAAUAAAUGUCAAGAUAAAUAAAAUUAAUGCGCUUUGGCAAAUAAAGGAAGCUGGAAAUACCAAAGAGAGAUGAAAUGUUGCUCCCUCCCCCAAACACACAGACUAAAGUCAACUAUGUUUGGCAAUUCUUGCUUCUUCCAGGAAGAAGUCCCUGAAAAUUCUCACAAAACAUCUCAUUCAUUAUUGUAUUUGAAUAAUAAAGUGGCACAUU
Molecule: long non-coding RNA, 524 nt
Filed under: Capra hircus (goat)
Lineage: Eukaryota; Metazoa; Chordata; Mammalia; Artiodactyla; Bovidae
Description: lncRNA (ENSCHIG00000001551.1)
Source: RNAcentral